UACAGAGGGGUCAAGCGUUGUUCGGAAUUACUGGGCGUAAAGGGCGCGUAGGCGGCCUGCUAAGUCGAACGUGAAAUCCCUGGGCUCAACCCAGGAACUGCGUCCCAUACUGCUUGGCUUGAGUACGGGAGAGGAUGUGGGAAUUCCUGGUGUAGCGGUGAAAUGCGUAGAUAUCAGGAGGAACACCGGUGGCGAAGGCGCACAUCUGGCCCGAUACUGACGCUGAGGCGCGAAAGCGUGGGGAGCAAACAGG
RNAcentral lists this ribosomal RNA (253 nucleotides) under uncultured bacterium. RNAcentral describes it as "partial 16S ribosomal RNA". It matches the Rfam family "Bacterial small subunit ribosomal RNA", at positions 524 to 776 of the family's 1533-position model. The record is from RNAcentral.